CAACAAGAGCAAAAUUCUGUCUCAAAAACAAACAAAUAAGCAAACAACAACAACAACAACAACAAAAAAGGCCAGGAGGCCAGGGUAAUAAGAUAUCAAGAGAAGGAAAAAACAAACAAACAAACGUAAAUGAAAUUGCUGGAGAGUAGUGGCCACCAAUCCUAUGCCUGACCUGGAACUGGAAACACAAGGCUUUCCUGAAGACAGAGAAACUCUGAAAAAACGGGAAAAGCAAGUCGGUGAAAAGAGCAAAAGAAAAGUUUCAGAAGGGACUUUGUUGACAUAGCACAGGAUGAAAGAGUAUCAAAGAGACCACCAAGCUUCAGAUGAUCAUGAAACAAAGGUUCCAGCCAGCUCCAUGUGAAGACACCACCCCAGCCAUCAAGAAGCUACCCUCCACUAGACAGAACAGGGACAGAGUUCCAUGAUCCCCAAUAGGUAGGGGCUACACCCCAAGGUAGCAUGAAGCAGUUACAGAAAAAAGACCAUCAGUCCCUCUGCCUCCCAUAAAGAUUUAUGGGGAUCACAUCUCUCAGGGAGGAGAUGAGACAGGAAAAUAAGGUCUGGAGGAGGGAACAUAAGGCCAGUUUAUACUUCAGCUAUAACAGGAAAUAUCCUCUCCAUAGGGCACAUGCUGUAAAUGACUUUGUAACUUUACCUCAUCUUCUCUGUUUACAUAGGACUUCCAAAAUAACAAAUAGAAUUCUCCAGGGGGUAAACUCCCAAAAAUUCUGUAACUGGGGCCUUUGAGCCGCUGUUCAGGCCCACUCCCACACUGUGGAGUG
This is a long non-coding RNA of Cercocebus atys (sooty mangabey), 785 nucleotides long. RefSeq lists it as uncharacterized. The record is from RefSeq and is a predicted model, not a curated record. The transcript has 3 exons. Lineage: Eukaryota; Metazoa; Chordata; Mammalia; Primates; Cercopithecidae.